GGUUGGGGUUUCAGCGCGCGCGGCUGGGGUUUCUGGUCGGGGGUUGCGCGCGGCUGAGGGGUCUGGUCGGGGUUUCGCGCACGCUGUUGGGAGGUCCGGUCGGUCAGGGGGUUCCGUGCGCGGCUAAGGGGUCCAGUCGGAGGUUUUGCUCGCGGCUGACGGGGUCGGUCAGGGGUUGCGCGCACAACUGAGGGGGUUCGGUGGGGGGUUUCCGCACGGCAGAGGGGUUCCGGUCAGGGGGUUUCGCGCGGCGGAGUUUUCCAGACAUGCAUGCACUCUGAGAACAUGGCCAACGGAGGGAGUCGACCAAGAACAAUAACAGGGAUAAGAACCGUUGCUUCUGCAAGCAACAAAGAGAAAAAUUUAAGAACGAACGCAGCCUACAGAUUUACUCCAACGAGGAUUUCUUGUAAGCACCGUUGCUUACAACUAAGAUACGGAACAGGCACCUCCCGCUGGAGGUGCUCUUAGUUGGAAUGGCCGACAGGAUCAUGCUUUUGAAAUUCUAACCACAGAUCUCAACCUUUUCCAAUGCUCCUUUCUUUCCCUUGUGCUGCAACUUUAAAAGGUUUUGAAACCUGGAGAAGAAUGGCUCAGCCAUUCUAAAGCGCUCAGCGGAAUCAGGUCAGAGAACUUCCCAAACUCAAGGCGCUCAGCCACUUCAAAGCGCCCAGCGGAUUGGCCUUGGAGGAGAAGGAGUGCUCUCUGCCUUCAAUCCGCUCAGCCAUUCCCAUCCGCUCAGCGGAUUUCAUCCAGGAACAAGGGGUGCUCUCUGCCUCUAAGGCGCUCAGCGGAUCUCAGGCGCUCAGCCCUUGAGGUUUCUCCAUGGUGAAGAACUCCCAAUCUGCUCAGCCGUUUCAAGGUGCUGAGCGGAUUCUUCUCUUUCCUGCCUACUCUGUUUUAAUUCUAGCAAUUAUAAAAGGGCAGGGGGGAGAGAAAAGGAGGGGGGAGACGAAAACAAAGAGAAAAACAAGAGCUGGGAGCACAGGAGGAAGAAAGAACAGAGUGGGAACGAAGAUUUGGAGGCUGGAUCACUUGGGAACGAGGAUCAACUCCUUUUCUUCAUCUCUUCCUUUGUAAUUUCUUCUUCCACUCCUUUGAUCUUGUAAAUGGCCAUGAGGGGCUAAAUCUUUGAGGAUUGGUCUAGAUGUAACUACUAACUCUUCUUCUUCUUAAAUAUAUAUAUGCAUUUCAUUUUCAUUA
Molecule: long non-coding RNA, 1203 nt
Organism: Cajanus cajan (pigeon pea)
Lineage: Eukaryota; Viridiplantae; Streptophyta; Magnoliopsida; Fabales; Fabaceae
Source: RefSeq, a predicted model, not a curated record